UACGUAGGGUGCGAGCGUUAAUCGGAAUUACUGGGCGUAAAGCGUGCGCAGGCGGUUCGCUGUGCCCUGUGUGAAAGCCCCGGGCUCAACCUGGGAAUGGCAUGGGAAACUGGCGGGCUGGAGUGUGGCAGAGGGGGGUGGAAUUCCGCGUGUAGCAGUGAAAUGCGUAGAGAUGCGGAGGAACACCGAUGGCGAAGGCAGCCCCCUGGGCCAACACUGACGCUCAGGCACGAAAGCGUGGGGAGCAAACAGG
This 253-nucleotide ribosomal RNA is filed under the name uncultured bacterium. Its description in RNAcentral is "partial 16S ribosomal RNA". It matches the Rfam family "Bacterial small subunit ribosomal RNA", at positions 524 to 776 of the family's 1533-position model. The record is from RNAcentral.